GAUGAACGCUAGCGGCAGGCUUAACACAUGCAAGUCGAGGGGCAGCAUUCCAGCAAUGGAGAUGGCGACCGGCAAACGGGUGCGGAACACGUACGCAACAUACCCUUGUCUGGGGCAUAGCCCGAAGAAAUUCGGAUUAACACCCCAUAAGAUAAUAGAGUGGCAUCACUUAGUUAUUAAAAAUUUAUUGGACAGGGAUU
This 200-nucleotide ribosomal RNA is filed under the name uncultured bacterium. RNAcentral describes it as "partial 16S ribosomal RNA". It matches the Rfam family "Bacterial small subunit ribosomal RNA", at positions 28 to 227 of the family's 1533-position model. The record is from RNAcentral.